RNAcentral lists this non-coding RNA (29 nucleotides) under Homo sapiens (human). The record is from RNAcentral. Lineage: Eukaryota; Metazoa; Chordata; Mammalia; Primates; Hominidae.
UCUGUUCCAUAGUCUGAAUGUGUUACUGA